UGGGGAAUAUUGCACAAUGGGCGCAAGCCUGAUGCAGCCAUGCCGCGUGUAUGAAGAAGGCCUUCGGGUUGUAAAGUACUUUCAGUCGGGAGGAAGGUGGUAAGGUUAAUAACCUUAUCAAUUGACGUUACCGACAGAAGAAGCACCGGCUAACUCCGUGCCAGCAGCCGCGGUAAUACGGAGGGUGCAAGCGUUAAUCGGGAUUACUGGGCGUAAAGCGCACGCAGGCGGUUGAUUGAGUCAGAUGUGAAAUCCCCGGGCUCAACCUGGGAACUGCAUUCGAAACUGGAAGGCUGGGGUCUUGUAGAGGGGGGUAGAAUUCCAGGUGUGGCGGUGAAAUGCGUAGAGAUCUGGAGGAAUACCGGUGGCGAAGGCGGCCCCCUGGACAAAGACUGACGCUCAGGUGCGAAAGCGUGGGGAGCAAACAGG
RNAcentral lists this ribosomal RNA (429 nucleotides) under Chloroflexota bacterium. Its description in RNAcentral is "Chloroflexi bacterium partial 16S ribosomal RNA". It matches the Rfam family "Bacterial small subunit ribosomal RNA", at positions 355 to 776 of the family's 1533-position model. Lineage: Bacteria; Bacillati; Chloroflexota. The record is from RNAcentral.